UCGCACGGGUGUAGCAAUACACCAGUGGGCGGACGGGUGAGUAAUGAAUCGCUAACGUGCCCCGGACUCUGGGAUAGCCAGCCGAAAGGCUGGGUAAUACCAGAUGACAUCACUUUCAGGCAUCUGAAGGUGCUCAAAGGUCCGCCGGUCUGGGAGCGGGCGAUUUCGUAUCAGCUAGUUGGUGAGGUAACGGCUCACCAAGGCGACGACGCGUAGCCGGACUGAGAGGUUGGCCGGCCACAUCGGGACUGAGACACUGCCCGGACUCCUACGGGGGGCUGCAGUAACGAAUCUUCCCCAAUGCACGCAAGUGUGAGGGAGCGACGCCGCGUGGAGGAUGAAGUCCUUCGGGAUGUAAACUCCUGUCAGGGGUUACCAAGUUCUGAGGAGCCCCAGAGGAAGAGGCGGCUAACUCUGUGCCAGCAGCCGCGGUAAGACAGAGGCCUCGAGCGUUA
RNAcentral lists this ribosomal RNA (455 nucleotides) under uncultured bacterium. Its description in RNAcentral is "bacterial SSU rRNA". It matches the Rfam family "Bacterial small subunit ribosomal RNA", at positions 62 to 543 of the family's 1533-position model. The record is from RNAcentral.